Molecule: long non-coding RNA, 397 nt
Filed under: Polistes fuscatus (common paper wasp)
Lineage: Eukaryota; Metazoa; Arthropoda; Insecta; Hymenoptera; Vespidae
Description: uncharacterized LOC122515426
Source: RNAcentral
UUCCACGGAUUCGUUAGUGUGCGCCCGAAUCCUCGAGCCAGGGACACGCUCGUAUCCCUUUUAUUUCAACUAAAUAACUUUGAUACGAAUACGGGAACUAUACGCUAACAUCUAGAUUUACUACUAAUCGCGCUAAAAUUAUGUUUCUUUAAGCGUAUCGUGUUGUAUGUUUCAGCUCAUACCACUGUUUGCAAUUAAUGCAACGGUAUUGAUUGCCAUCUCUUUCAUGUGCUACCACAGGAUGUUUGUGACUACAAUCGAUGUAACACUCGGGGAUUAUCAUCGAUUCGAAAUACCCUCGGAACCAAGAUUUUUCGACUUGCGAAACCCCCGCAUUCUCAAGGUCUGUCUUUUGUUAUCUACUCAAAGUACGAAUAAAGAAAAUUUAUUUCCUGCC